Long non-coding RNA from Cyprinus carpio (common carp), 642 nucleotides. NCBI's taxonomy places the organism in Eukaryota, Metazoa, Chordata, Actinopteri, Cypriniformes, Cyprinidae. The record is from Ensembl.
AUGUUUUAUGUAAGUCAUAGUGAACUCUUCACACGAUCAGUGAACAGCAGACAGCUGAUCUGUGUUUAUUCACUCAAGACUGAACCUGAGAUCAGAUCACCACACAGUGACACAUACACCUUCAGAGACACAGUCACCAUCAGAGAUCUUCCUCAGGCCAAGUUGAGAGCGUCUGCUUCAGUUAUUCUGGAAACAGACACAGUUGAGCUGAGCUGUGAGAAUACUGAAGAUCUGAAGAUGGAGAAGUGUUUCUUCAACAUAAAUGGAAGAGAAAGUAACUCAAAACAGAGCUCAUCAUGUCAGCUCUCACUCACUGGAUCUCAGAUCAGUGUUUGGUCUGGAGGUCAGAGUUCAUCUGUGAGAAUAAGCUGCUUCUACACUGUGAAUUUGUCACAAGUUCAAAAACCAUCUGCUCACUCUGAUCCAGUGACAGUAACAGUCAACAUUUCAACAUCAAUAUCCCCUCAAAAAACUUCACAACUGGACUCUGUCAUUUCCACGUCUGAAACCCCAGUGUACCGCACAACAGAUCUAUGGUUUAUAGUGCUGGUUUUUACUUGUGUUGCUGUCAUUUUGUCCGGACUCAUGGGACUCAGCUGUCUCUGCGUGUUUGCAGGUAUUUCAAUGUCAAUUUAUUUAUAA